GAGACUCUGUGCGCGUGCAUAUCAAUAAGCGGAGGAAAAGAAACUAACUAGGAUUCCCUUAGUAACGGCGAGUGAAGCGGGAAGAGCUCAAAUUUGAAAUCUUCAAGGGUUCUACCUUGACGAAUUGUAGUUUAAAGAAGUGUUUUCUGUUGGAGUUUAGGUAAAAGUUCUUUGGAAUAGGACAUCAUAGAGGGUGAGAAUCCCGUAUUUGACCGUUACUUUCCAGCUGUGUGAUACACUUUCAAAGGGUCGGAUUGUUUAGGAAUGCAGUCCAAGAUGGGUGGUAAAUUUCAUCUAAAGCUAAAUAUUGGCGAGAGACCGAUAGCGAACAAGUACCGUGAGGGAAAGAUGAAAAGAACUUUGAAAAGAGAGUUAAACAGUACGUGAAAUUGUCAAAAGGGAAGCGUUUGACACCAGUGUUGUUUAGUUGAAAAUCAAUUCAAAUAGGUUUUGAUUCUAGUAGUAUUGACUUCAUCAGCUUUCUGCACUUUCUUCUCAGUAUUAUUUAAUGCACUUUUCAGUUAACAAGUCAACAUCAAUUUCUUUUGUUGUAAAAGGGUAAGAGGAUGGUGGCUUGCGCUUCGGCUCAAGUGUUUAUAGCCUUUUAUCCUCUGCAAUCGGAGAGAUUGAGGAUCAGCAGCGUAGACUCCUUCGGGGUUAGAUACACUUGGUGCUAAGCUAUAGCCUUGUACAGACAACUUGUUGACUAUGCUCAGUCAUGUAGCUUACUCGCUUGUGCUAUUUUACCUACGCUUAGGAUGUUGACAGCAGUAUAGACUGU
This 781-nucleotide ribosomal RNA is filed under the name uncultured Neocallimastigales. RNAcentral describes it as "partial large subunit ribosomal RNA". It matches the Rfam family "Eukaryotic large subunit ribosomal RNA", at positions 23 to 638 of the family's 3401-position model. The record is from RNAcentral. Lineage: Eukaryota; Fungi; Neocallimastigomycota; Neocallimastigomycetes; Neocallimastigales.